RNAcentral lists this transfer RNA (65 nucleotides) under Alpheus distinguendus. RNAcentral's name for it is "tRNA-Ala". The record is from RNAcentral. Lineage: Eukaryota; Metazoa; Arthropoda; Malacostraca; Decapoda; Alpheidae.
GAAGUUAUAGUCAACAAAUUGAUAUCUGACCUGCAAUCAGAAGGCGCCCAAAAGGGCUAACUUUA